RNAcentral lists this ribosomal RNA (466 nucleotides) under uncultured bacterium. RNAcentral describes it as "partial 16S ribosomal RNA". It matches the Rfam family "Bacterial small subunit ribosomal RNA", at positions 28 to 507 of the family's 1533-position model. The record is from RNAcentral.
GACGAACGCUGGCGGCGUGCUUAACACAUGCAAGUCGAACGGAAAGGCCCAGCUUGCUGGGUACUCGAGUGGCGAACGGGUGAGUAACACGUGGGUGAUCUGCCCUGCACUCUGGGAUAAGCCUGGGAAACUGGGUCUAAUACCGGAUAUGACCGAGUGUCGCAUGGUGGUUGGUGGAAAGCUUUUGCGGCGUGGGGUGGGCGCGCGGCCUAUCAGUUUGUUGGUGGGGUAAUGGCCUAGCAAGGCGACGACGGGUAGCCGACCUGAGAGGGUGAUCGGCCACAAUGGGACUGCGACACGGCCCAGCCUCCUACGGGAGGCAGCAGUGGGGAAUAUUGCACAAUGGGCGCCAGCCUGAUGCAGCGACGCCGCGUGAGGGAUGACGGCCUUCGGGUUGUAAACCUCUUUCACCAGGGACGAAGCGUGAGUGACGGUACCUGGAGAAGAAGCACCGGCCAACUACGUG